Molecule: ribosomal RNA, 497 nt
Filed under: uncultured bacterium
Lineage: Bacteria
Description: partial 16S ribosomal RNA
Rfam family: Bacterial small subunit ribosomal RNA
Source: RNAcentral
GAUGAACGCUGGCGGCGUGCCUAAUACAUGCAAGUCGAGCGAACGGAUGAGAAGCUUGCUUCUCUGAUGUUAGCGGCGGACGGGUGAGUAACACGUGGAUAACCUACCCAUAAGACUGGGAUAACUUCGGGAAACCGGAGCUAAUACCGGAUAAUAUUUUGAACCGCAUGGUUCAAAAGUGAAAGACGGUCUUGCUGUCACUUAUAGAUGGAUCCGCGCUGCAUUAGCUAGUUGGUAAGGUAACGGCUUACCAAGGCAACGAUGCAUAGCCGACCUGAGAGGGUGAUCGGCCACACUGGAACUGAGACACGGUCCAGACUCCUACGGGAGGCAGCAGUAGGGAAUCUUCCGCAAUGGGCGAAAGCCUGACGGAGCAACGCCGCGUGAGUGAUGAAGGUCUUCGGAUCGUAAAACUCUGUUAUUAGGGAAGAACAUAUGUGUAAGUAACUGUGCACAUCUUGACGGUACCUAAUCAGAAAGCCACGGCUAACUACGUG